CAUGGCAGCACACAGAGACUGCGCAGUCACCCUGCCAGGAAAGGGCGACCGGGACCUCUUGGGUCCCCAGCCCCAAAGUCAGAGGCUCACACGCUGGGAGCCAGGUCGGCCCCUCGGCCCUCCCCACCCCGCCACCUUCCCAUCCCCUACAGAGCCAGCUGGGACCCCCAGGGAGCUCCAGAAACAUCGGCCGGAUUGCAACGUGGGCCACCCAGAACCGGACACCAGCCCUCAGAGCGGUCAGGCGUGGGGCCCAGGAGGUCGCUGGACACAGGACCUGGAGAUGGAGCGUGGUGACGGCUGCCCACCAGGCAAGCCCGUCCUCCAGCAAAAAGAUUCCGGCUUUGCCGAAGGCUCUGAUGAUGGUUAACACCUUUUAGCCAUAAAGUAUUUUUAAAUGAAAGGAUGCACAUUGUUUUUAUAGACAUAAGGCCGUUGCACACUGAAUAGCCUACAGUGGAGUGCAAACAUGACUUUUUUCUUUUCUUUUUUUCUUUUGAGGAAGAUUAGCCCUGAGCUGACAUCCGCCCCCAAUCCUCCUCUUUUUUGCUGAGGAAGACUGGCCCUGAGCUCACAUCCGUGCCCAUCUUCCUCUACUUUAUAUGUGGGACGCCCGCCACAGCAUGGCGUGCCAAGCAGUGCCAUGUCCACACCCGGGACCCGAACCGGCGAACCCCGGGCCGCCAAAGCAGAAUGUGUGCACUUAACCACUGCGCCACCGGGUGGCCCCUGAACGUUGCUUUUCUACGCGCUGGGAAACCCGAGAAAUCGUGAGACCCGCUUUAUUGCGACCUUGGCUUUAUUGUGCAGUCUGGAACCGAACCCACGGUGCCUGUACCACCUCCGGGUGAUACAUAGCAGGGAAUGCAGCAGACUUUUCCUCAAAGGAAAGAGAUUUCCAGAAGGGAGUCAGAAACUUUCAUUCGUUCAUUCACUCAUUCAUUCCUACAGUUACCGUCUUCCCUGAACCCCCAGGCUUUGCAGGGUGGGUGGAGCAAUGGCCCAGACCCUGGAGCCGGCUUGGGGCAAAGCAGAAACAGCAAGAAGACCUGCGAUGGGGCGACCUGUGGACUGCAGUGUGCCCCUGCCUGCGUGGGGACAGGUCAAGGGGCCAUCGAGGAGUAGGCGUGUCACCUGUUGCCAGGUGCCAGGUGCCCGUGGCGGGAAGCCCCUCGUGCACAUCCCUGCCCAUCUAGUGCUGGCGACAACUCCGGGAGGCGGGUGCUAUGGGAACCGCCAUCCUUCAGACGACAGAAACCAGGUCGCCACAGGGCCCUGCCCGCCCAGCAUCACAGGCGGCACCCGACACGCAUCAGCUGUGAUUGUUGGAGCGUGGGUGCUCUUUAUUUAUUACAGGACCCUCCGGCAGUGUCAGGGCACGGAGAGUGUGCAGCCAAGGAACCCGACAAGCUGGCUGCAGAUUUACGAAGUGGUGCCAGCUCCCGGAGAACAUCGUCCGUCUCAGAAACGACUUCCUCAUCGUUCCUCAGAGACUCGAAGCAAUUAUUCUGUUUUCUUACCAUUUUGGAUGCAUUUGAGUCAUGAAAAUAACACCGGACAUGAAAAUGCAACAGGACCCAAGAGCAGCUGUCUCUCCGCCCUUUCGAAAUGAGCCACUGGCCCUUGGCUUUAUUCUAAGUUAUCCUGAUUCCCUCAGACUUCACCUACGAGGAGGGCAAUCUGGUCUUGUUACUUCCAGAAACUCACUAGUAUUGUCUCUUGUCUGAUUCCAGCAUUUUCACGUGCAAAAGAGAACGGCCAGCCCAAGGUGUGGUCUGCUUUUUCUUUCUUUCUUUUUUUGUUUUGAGGAAGAUUGGCCCUGAGCUAACAUCUGCCACCAAUCCUCCUCUUUUUUUUUUUUUUUUUUUUGCUGAGGAAGACUGGCCCUGAGUUAACAUCCAUGCCCAUCUACUUUAUAUGUGGAACGCCUACCACAGCAUGGCGUGCCAAGUGGUGCCAUGUCCACACCCAGGACCCAAACCGGCAAACCUGGGGCUGCUGCUCUUUCUGACUUUGAAGACGUUGGAGGAGGAGCUCUUCCGACAUCAGCACAUCCUCCUUGCUCCCUCGGGAAUCCCAAUCUUUCUCUAAAUGAGUUUGUAGAAGAAAAGGCAUUUUGUACGAAAGCCGUGAUUUCUUGCCCCGCCCGCUUUGCCGUAUGUUCGAGACCAUUUAGAAAACAGAAACUCAACUCGAGUAAAAGCACAGAGGUGUCGCCCUCCCUGGAGCCCCUGCCCCCCUCCCCCCAGGGGCGUCGGAUCCUUCCGGAGACAUUCGAGCAUCUGCACGACCAGGUUCACAUAUUGUGUCCCUUUUGGACCGCGGUUUCUAUAAAGGGUGGCUCACGACGUACACGGCCUCAGAUUGCCCCCCAGCUCAGAACACAGAGGGCCCCCUCGUUCGUUGUGUGCCCCCCCCAAACUGUGGGUGGACACUGGCUGUUUCUGUUCUUGGGCUCAGCAAGCUCUCCGGCUGCUGUGUCUUGAUAUACCUGUGACCUCGUGAAGGCCCAGGCCGGAUGUUCCGACAGCUGGUUCAGAUUCACCAUUCGCCUUUUCAAAAAUUUUUAUUUUCAGUUACUUGAUUACUUGGAACUUCAUCCAUGUGGCAAGCAGCCUUGUCUUGUGCCGUGGACUUUUGCAGACAGAUCUGGCUUCAAAUCUCGAUUCUGUUACUUAGAAGCUGUGUGACCUUGUGCAAGUUACUUAACCUCUCUGUGUCUCCAUGAGCAAGUUACUUAACUUCUCCGUGCCUCGGUCUCCUCCCCAACUUAAAGGGGGGUGAUGAUGAUGACAGCCCCCAUACCGUGGGCUCCUGAGGAGGACUAAAUGAGUCCAAAAGGUGGCCUUUUCUUGGAACGGUUCCCAGCAUACGUUUCCAUCAUUUCAUGCAUCCAGACCUACAAGGGGAUCCGAGGCAGCGAGCAUUUGCAAGAAAUGUUUCCCAGACUGGAAACACUGAAUCUCCGUGCGCAUCUCUUCUUUCCUUCCUCUUCCCGCGUCCUCCUGCCAACAUUUGCUGAGGGCUCCUGGAUCGGCUAGACACCCGGUAGGACAGGCCAGCGCCCCCGCCUGCUCAGGCGGCCUGUUUGGGGCCAGGGACAUUUCUGCAAAUCCUGGGGCCUGCGCUGGGGGAGGUAAGCGCCUGACUUUGAGAUGCUGAGAUCCGGGGCUCACAGUGGAGCCGGGAGGGAGGUUGAGGUGGGAGUCGGCGAGGGGACACUGCGUGAUGCCCGACGGCCGGGCUCCUGCUGACACCUAGUGGAAGGACGGAAUUCGCAUCCUUUUCAGCCAGGGUGCCUCUGCGAGAUUGAGGUCUCCCCCAGAACAUCUACGAGAUGUCGCGCAGACAGACCCGGGCCAGAGAGGGAGCAACUUGCUGGGCGUCACACAGCACAUCGGCUGCCCCAGGGGAGGGGGUGUUGAAGGACCCAAGAUAUCAUUUUAAAGGAAGCUGUUUUGGGGGGACAGACUGUCUUUCAGAGCGGUUGCAUCAUUUGACGUUCCCACCAGCAACAGAGGAAGGUUCCAGUUUCUCCCCAUCCUCCACAACACUUGUUACUGUCCGUCUUCUCGAUGACAGCCAUCCUGGCAGGUGGGAAGUGGCCAGUCCGGUUGCUAUUAGGUUUGAAAUAUCCAUCACGUCAGCCCACUCAUCGCCAGCCCCGGGCCAACUUGAACAUCUGCCCUGGUCUACCCCCCCUCCAAAGUUCACAAAGUAGGUGGUCAGUUAAUACUUGUUCAAUGAAUGAAUGAAUGGAAUAUUAUGCAGCUGUCAAAAAUGAUGUUACAGAAGAAUGUUUAAUGAGGAGGUCAGCAGAACAACGCCCCCCUCAGCAUCCACAUCCUCAUGCCCGGAACCUGUGACUAUGCUCCCUUCCGUGGCAAAAGGGACUUUGCACAUGAGAGUAAGUUAAAAAUCUGGAGAUGGGGAGAUUAUUUCUCAUUAUCCGGGUGGACCUGAUGUAAUCACAGGGGUCCUCCUAAGAGGGAGGCAAGAGAGUCAAAAUCUAAGAACUGGAAGAAAAUAAAUUUGUGUUGUUUUCGGCCACUGUUUAUGGAAAUUUGUCACAGCAGCCAUAGCGGACGAAUAGAGAAGGUCUUUGCGAUGUCUUACUGUGACAGUGCCCUGCCCAGCCAUCCUGGGUCUGAGACAAAGGGAAAAUGUGUGCCUCUCAAUAUACGCUUUAUGCAAUUUUUUAAUGGUUAACCCCCCCCCCCCCAGUAGAUGGUGAAAUGUUAUCAAUAUGUUUGUUACCAUUAAAGGCAGGCAAGUAAAAUUCUAAUCAGUUCUUAACGUCGUGAAUUUUAAUAUGUCUAGUUUUAAGUUUCAAUAUUUUUUCAACGAUGUUCUGGGGGGGGGAAAUAGUCAUUAAAAGUGCAUUAAAAACAGGUAUA
This 4397-nucleotide long non-coding RNA is filed under the name Equus caballus (horse). RNAcentral's name for it is "lncRNA (ENSECAG00000052935.1)". The record is from RNAcentral. Lineage: Eukaryota; Metazoa; Chordata; Mammalia; Perissodactyla; Equidae.